This 497-nucleotide ribosomal RNA is filed under the name uncultured bacterium. RNAcentral's name for it is "partial 16S ribosomal RNA". It matches the Rfam family "Bacterial small subunit ribosomal RNA", at positions 28 to 507 of the family's 1533-position model. The record is from RNAcentral.
GAUGAACGCUGGCGGCGUGCCUAAUACAUGCAAGUCGAGCGAACGGACGAGAAGCUUGCUUUUCUGAUGUUAGCGGCGGACGGGUGAGUAACACGUGGAUAACCUACCUAUAAGACUGGGAUAACUUCGGGAAACCGGAGCUAAUACCGGAUAAUAUUUUGAACCGCAUGGUUCAAAAGUGAAAGACGGUCUUGCUGUCACUUAUAGAUGGAUCCGCGCUGCAUUAGCUAGUUGGUAAGGUAACGGCUUACCAAGGCAACGAUGCAUAGCCGACCUGAGAGGGUGAUCGGCCACACUGGAACUGAGACACGGUCCAGACUCCUACGGGAGGCAGCAGUAGGGAAUCUUCCGCAAUGGGCGAAAGCCUGACGGAGCAGCGCCGCGUGAGUGAUGAAGGUCUUCGGAUCGUAAAACUCUGUUAUUAGGGAAGAACAUAUGUGUAAGUAACUGUGCACAUCUUGACGGUACCUAACCAGAAAGCCACGGCUAACUACGUG